Molecule: ribosomal RNA, 175 nt
Filed under: Klebsiella ornithinolytica
Lineage: Bacteria; Pseudomonadati; Pseudomonadota; Gammaproteobacteria; Enterobacterales; Enterobacteriaceae
Description: Raoultella ornithinolytica partial 23S ribosomal RNA
Rfam family: Bacterial large subunit ribosomal RNA
Source: RNAcentral
GAAAGCAUCUAAGCACGAAACUUGCCCCGAGAUGAGUUCUCCCUGACUCCUUGAGAGUCCUGAAGGAACGUUGAAGACGACGACGUUGAUAGGUCGGGUGUGUAAGCGUAGCGAUACGUUGAGCUAACCGAUACUAAUGAACCGUGAGGCUUAACCUUACAACGCCGAAGCUGUU